UGGAGAGGUUGUCCUUUUCUGGCAUCAGCGUUGCGGCUCGAGGCAAAGCUGGUCCUGUGCCUGCUGUCCAUUGCCGCUAAGGCCUGCUGCUGCCAUUCAGGCGUGUCUCUCUCUCUCUCUCUCUUUCAUGCCGCUCUCUCCACCCCAUCUUGGGACGGCCAGCUCUAAGAAUUCCUGCUACGACACUGAAUUCAACCAGGAGGUGAUGCCACACUCAAUCAGAAACUAUGCUACUGCUGAAGAGGUAUAUUGAGCCCUGCCUGGUUAACCUCCAGUGAGGUUAUUAGAGAAUUGGGAGAGGCUCAAAUCAGCAUCCUGCACCUAGUUAUCAAACCAUUGUGAAGUCUUGAUUCCUGGAUGGCCAGAAAACUUGUCAUUGGUCAAGAGCAACAUUAAGAUCUGCCUGUUACUCAUACUGAUGCUUCCUGCCCAGCAAGUUCAUCAGAGGGCGAGGAUGAAUUACGGUUGCCAUGAAUGUCCUUGUGAGGCAGUUGGGAAGCCUUGGCUGGAUUGUGAAGGAUAUUUGAAAAGUAUUUUAGAGUCCACCAGAUCAUCCAUGUGAGUGACCAUGCAGCAAAAGAAGGAGGGUCCUCUCAGUGAUUAAGGAUUAUGAAGUAUUAAUUCUUCCACUGAUAUCUCAAAAGGUGAUCUGGACAAAGGAACAGGUAUCUCAGAACAGUGGUUGGUAGGAUGGCGGAGACAUGGACUUCAGAGAGUUCUUGGUAGAAGACUCAAAGAGCCACCUGUCAUGAGACAUCCCACUUCCUUCCCCAGGUUACUUCCAAGACUGAGCAGCCAGGUUUUUGGUAGAUGAGAACAAAUGUUUCUUCCUGAAGCCCUGGGGCUUCAGGUAGGAAGAAGGACUGCUAUACUUGUUCUCACCCUUGGCUUCUGGCUGCUCCAGUUAAACAUGGUUCCCAUUGAUACAGACAUUAGAGUGGGAAAGGACUUCGUUCAUAGACCGAAGACCCUCAAAGGAAAGUCCUUCCAUUUUGGGAAGGGUGACAUUGAUUUCGUUUAGCUGCUUAAGAUAUGUACUUGCUGUUGUCUUGUGAGACAUGACAUCUGAAGCUGAAGAGGAGUCCCUCUCAUUGUUGUCAUUGUCCCACCGGGACUGAAAGUCUCCCAGUUGAGGCAGCAUUUUAGCUUUGAUGUCUACAGGGCAAUCAUGGAUCAGGAAAUUUCUGCAAAUUAGACUUGGAAAACAAGGUCUUGAUCCUUCUUGUCUUUGGACGAAGACUAAUCAUCACUUUUGACUGAAGGUGUAGUGCUGGAGACUAUGUUGGAGGCAGCACCUGAUGCACUAUCCAUAUUCUUCCCCUUGAUCUUGUCUUAAAGUUUUCCAAAUGGAUUCCGAGGCUUGUCUUUGAUGAAAAGGUCAAACAUACUGGCAGUCAUGUUGUUUCUCAUAAGCUGGAUGUCAACCUCAAUUUCUCCUCUUUAUCCUUCUCUCCUGGUUUGGAUUUCAAGGUAUACCACCGCAUCUUCCUGCUCCCCUAGUCUGGGUGCAGGUCCUGCAGGUACACCUCGGCGAAGCCCAAGUACAGUAGCAGCAGCACCUCAAAGGUGGCCUCCUCCUCUGACACUGAGGUGGCAUACUUCUCCUUACCCACCUGAAUCACCGAGUACAUGUUGCUUGUACCGUCAGGCUCUUGGUUCUUGGCCCCUGGCCCUAUGCCUGCAACACUGUCACCUGCACGUGGAUUGGGAACCACAUAGCCCCCGGACCUGCUAAGGCCAUUAAGGACAGGAUGGUGAUGCCUCGGCUGACUGACGUGAGAAGAUUGUCAUGACCCAUGGCCUCUACUGCUGUCCUACCAACAGAAACUUCAUAAUGUUGUGCAGGCGUUACCACUACCUAGUUCCAGAACAUUGCCAUCACCCCCAAAAUAAAUCUUGCAUUCAUUAA
Molecule: long non-coding RNA, 1909 nt
Organism: Homo sapiens (human)
Lineage: Eukaryota; Metazoa; Chordata; Mammalia; Primates; Hominidae
Gene: FTX
Product: FTX transcript, XIST regulator
Source: Ensembl